Molecule: ribosomal RNA, 433 nt
Filed under: Thioflexithrix psekupsensis
Lineage: Bacteria; Pseudomonadati; Pseudomonadota; Gammaproteobacteria; Thiotrichales
Description: bacterial SSU rRNA
Rfam family: Bacterial small subunit ribosomal RNA
Source: RNAcentral
CCCUAUCCUUAGUUGCCAGCGAGUCAAGUCGGGAACUCUAGGGAGACUGCCGGUGACAAACCGGAGGAAGGUGGGGAUGACGUCAAGUCAUCAUGGCCCUUAUGGCUAGGGCUACACACGUGCUACAAUGGCAAGUACAAAGGGCAGCAAGACCGCGAGGUGGAGCAAAUCUCAGAAAACUUGUCGUAGUCCGGAUUGCAGUCUGCAACUCGACUGCAUGAAGUCGGAAUCGCUAGUAAUCGCAAAUCAGCAUGUUGCGGUGAAUACGUUCCCGGGCCUUGUACACACCGCCCGUCACACCAUGGGAGUGGGUUGCAAAAGAAGUCAAUAGCUUAACCGCAAGGAGGGCGUUGACCACUUUGUGAUUCAUGACUGGGUGAAGUCGUAACAAGGUAGCCGUAGGGGAACCUGCGGCUGGAUCACCUCCUUUAAA